GGCAACCAUAGCUAAUGGUAAGGAUUUCUCCUACAACUUUGGUCGAGCGAUGGUUAAGUUGGGAGCUGUCCAAGUCCUCACUGGAAAUCAAGGAGAGAUCAGGAGAGAUUGUCGAUCAGUUAACAAUCCAUCUAACAGCAGUUCUAAUUCCAACAUUGAAGAAUAAGCAUGAUCAUAUUAAUGCUAUUUGCAGUCUCAUGUUUUCCUUUCCUUUUGUUUAUGUCAUUCAUGUAUUCGUUUUUAUUCUAUGUUUUUAUUCACAUUCCUUUUGAGUACAGAGAGAUUCAGCGUUUGUAUUUAUUAUUUUUUAUCCACUUGUAAGACAUUUUGCAGAAUAAUAAUCAUGGAUUAUAAGUCUUAAACCAAGAUGAUAAAAUUGAAGCUUCUCAGUUUUCUACACUAUGAGGUUGAUUAUCUUAUUGGAAAAGCACUUCUUCCUUGUUAAUGAAAAUCAAUAUGAAAACAAAAUAAUACUUAUGCUUCAGCACAUGUUAUGCAAAUUGAAAAAUAAAAUAUUACAGGCAUUGAAUCUUAUUCUUUCACUAAGAGCUAAAAGAAAACUAAAAGAAUCAUUUCAAUCUAAGCCUUAGUUGCAAGACCUGCCUUGAUCUUCUGUUUUGAAAGACUUGGCAAGGAUUCCAUCAUCAAUCCCACUAGCAAAGACGGUAGCCGGAACUGAAAGAGUUCCAACAUUGGCACUGCCAAAAACAGAGAGGGCACUUGCAGGAUUCUUAGGAUCUGCAUUCUACUGAUAAUCUCAUCUAUCCUUCAUUUGACUGCAGAUUCUGAUUUCUCACUUUCUUUUUGUCUUUUUUUUUUGGAAAAAUCUUUAUUGCCAAAAGAGCCAAACUGUACAAUACAACCCAUCUAUUAUUUAUAUACAAUUUUUAAGCAAAUCAACCUCCCUGAAAUCAACUUCCCUCACUCAAUCUGUCGGUAUGAGAAAACAAAUAAAGCUAACCAGCAAACCCAGCUACAAUUCAGCUAACCAGCAAACUCAGUUACCAAUCAUUUUUAACCAUCAUUUCAGAGUAUCCAAAGCAGACCCACAUAGCACACAUGAUUCACAGUAUCAUCUAGUGACUUUAAUACCAUAAACCUCCAAUCAUUCAACAACACACAUAACCAACCAUUCAACAACACGCAUAACCAACCAUUUAACCAGUUUAGUUUUAAUAGCUAACCUGUUUAGAAUAGUCAUCCAUACAAUACACCGUAUGCCUAUCCCAGGCCAGCUUCCACCGAUUAACUUUACUAGUUUUUUUCCUCGGCACCUCCCAGACACUUGCAUUGUAUACUUGCCAGAGUUAGUUAAUCUCUAUUCGAUUUUAUCCUCACGUUCCCCCACACUUUAUGUCUCUUCGCCUCAUUUCAUGCUUGCCAGCUCAGCCUUUGGGUUGUUUAGUCUCCAAUGCCCAACUCUUUA
This 1426-nucleotide long non-coding RNA is filed under the name Manihot esculenta (cassava). RNAcentral's name for it is "long non-coding RNA (MESC_LNC006887)". Lineage: Eukaryota; Viridiplantae; Streptophyta; Magnoliopsida; Malpighiales; Euphorbiaceae. The record is from RNAcentral.